RNAcentral lists this transfer RNA (76 nucleotides) under Mycolicibacterium neworleansense. Its description in RNAcentral is "tRNA-Gly". The record is from RNAcentral. Lineage: Bacteria; Bacillati; Actinomycetota; Actinomycetes; Mycobacteriales; Mycobacteriaceae.
GCCGUCCGCGUUGAGGUGGGUCCAGCCGGAGGCUUCCAACCGCCGGAUCGCCUCGUCCGGGUCGUGGCGGACGGCG